CUACGCACUCCUACGGGAGGCAGCAGUGGGGAAUAUUGCACAAUGGGCGCAAGCCUGAUGCAGCCAUGCCGCGUGUAUGAAGAAGGCCUUCGGGUUGUAAAGUACUUUCAGCAGUGAGGAAGGUGGGUAUGUUAAUAGCAUAUUCAUUUGACGUUAGCUGCAGAAGAAGCACCGGCUAACUCCGUGCCAGCAGCCGCGGUAAUACGGAGGGUGCGAGCGUUAAUCGGAAUUACUGGGCGUAAAGCGCAUGCAGGUGGUUUGUUAAGUCAGAUGUGAAAGCCCGGGGCUCAACCUCGGAAUUGCAUUUGAAACUGGCAAACUAGAGUACUGUAGAGGGGGUAGAAUUUCAGGUGUAGCGGUGAAAAUGCGUAGAGAUCUGAAGGAAUACCGGUGGCGAAGGCGGCCCCCUGGACAGAUACUGACACUCAGAUGCGAAAGCGUGGGGAGCAAACAGGAUUAGAUAACCUGGUAG
RNAcentral lists this ribosomal RNA (472 nucleotides) under uncultured bacterium. RNAcentral's name for it is "bacterial SSU rRNA". It matches the Rfam family "Bacterial small subunit ribosomal RNA", at positions 329 to 793 of the family's 1533-position model. The record is from RNAcentral.